CCUACGGGAGGCAGCAGUGGGGAAUAUUGGACAAUGGGCGAAAGCCUGAUCCAGCCAUGCCGCGUGUGUGAAGAAGGCCUUCGGGUUGUAAAGCACUUUCAGUGGGGAAGAAAGCCUUGGGGCUAAUACCCUCGAGGAAGGACAUCACCCACAGAAGAAGCACCGGCUAACUCCGUGCCAGCAGCCGCGGUAAUACGGAGGGUGCGAGCGUGAAUCGGAAUUACUGGGCGUAAAGCGCGCGUAGGCGGUCUGAUAAGCCGGUUGUGAAAGCCCCGGGCUCAACCUGGGAACGGCAUCCGGAACUGUCAGGCUAGAGUGCAGGAGAGGAAGGUAGAAUUCCCGGUGUAGCGGUGAAAUGCGUAGAGAUCGGGAGGAAUACCAGUGGCGAAGGCGGCCUUCUGGACUGACACUGACGCUGAGGUGCGAAAGCGUGGGUAGCAAACAGGAUUAGAUACCCUAGUAGU
RNAcentral lists this ribosomal RNA (464 nucleotides) under Vreelandella stevensii. RNAcentral describes it as "partial 16S ribosomal RNA". It matches the Rfam family "Bacterial small subunit ribosomal RNA", at positions 338 to 794 of the family's 1533-position model. The record is from RNAcentral. Lineage: Bacteria; Pseudomonadati; Pseudomonadota; Gammaproteobacteria; Oceanospirillales; Halomonadaceae.